This 406-nucleotide ribosomal RNA is filed under the name uncultured bacterium. RNAcentral describes it as "partial 16S ribosomal RNA". It matches the Rfam family "Bacterial small subunit ribosomal RNA", at positions 29 to 526 of the family's 1533-position model. The record is from RNAcentral.
AUUGAACGCUGGCGGCAGGCCUAACACAUGCAAGUCGCACGAGUGGCGGACGGGUGCGUAAUGUCUGGGAAACUGCCCGAUGGAGGGGGAUAACUACUUGAAACGGUAGCUAAUACCGCAUACCCUCGGAUGUGCCCAGAUGGGAUUAGCUAGUGGGUGGGGUAACGGCUCACCAAGGCGACGAUCCCUAGCUGGUCUGACAGGAUGACCGGCGAAAUUGGAACGGAGACACGGUCAAGACUCCUACGGGAGAGAGCAGGGGGGAAUAAUGCACAAUGGGGGAAAGCCUGGGGCAGCCAUGGCGCGUGUAUGAAGAAGGCCUUCGGGUUGAAAAGUACUUGCAGCGGGGAGGCGUUACUCGCAGAAGAAGCACGGGCUAACUCCGUGCCAGCGGCCGCGGUAAUGC